This 253-nucleotide ribosomal RNA is filed under the name uncultured bacterium. RNAcentral describes it as "partial 16S ribosomal RNA". It matches the Rfam family "Bacterial small subunit ribosomal RNA", at positions 524 to 776 of the family's 1533-position model. The record is from RNAcentral.
UACGAAGGGGGCUAGCGUUGCUCGGAAUUAUUGGGCGUAAAGCGCACGUAGGCGGCUUAGCAAGUCGGAAGUGAAAUCCCUCGGCUCAACCAAGGAAGUGCUUUCGAAACUGCUGAGCUUGAGUACUUAAGAGGAUCGCGGAAUUCCCGGUGUAGAGGUGAAAUGCGUAGAUAUCGAGAGGAACACCGGUGGCGAAGGCGGUUCUCUGGGCCUUACCUGACGCUGAGGAGCGAAAGCGUGGGGAGCGAACAGG